RNAcentral lists this microRNA precursor (67 nucleotides) under Bombyx mori (domestic silkworm). RNAcentral's name for it is "mir-2774 microRNA precursor family". It matches the Rfam family "mir-2774 microRNA precursor family". Lineage: Eukaryota; Metazoa; Arthropoda; Insecta; Lepidoptera; Bombycidae. The record is from Rfam by way of RNAcentral.
ACAACAUUCGGACCGUCGGUCUACCGAGCAAUAUCACCCGCUCGGUGGAAAAUCUUCUCUCUGUCAU